CGUCAGGGAAACGCCCGGAAACAUUCCGAACCCGGAAGCUAAGGCUGACUGCGCCGAUGGUACUGCAGGGGGGACCCUGUGGGAGAGUAGGACACCGCCGGAC
This 103-nucleotide ribosomal RNA is filed under the name Leucobacter sp. cx-169. The record is from RNAcentral. Lineage: Bacteria; Bacillati; Actinomycetota; Actinomycetes; Micrococcales; Microbacteriaceae.